Molecule: long non-coding RNA, 460 nt
Organism: Pecten maximus
Lineage: Eukaryota; Metazoa; Mollusca; Bivalvia; Pectinida; Pectinidae
Exons: 3
Source: RefSeq, a predicted model, not a curated record
AGACAGAAUUCCAUUAGUAUCACAGUAUCUCAGUCCGUAAGUUACAUAUUUUUGUCCCCUGACAAAAGGUAUAAACGGUCAGUAAGUUAUUUUUUUGUCCCCUGACAGAAGGUAUGAACGGUCAGUAAGUUAUUUUUUUGUCCCCUGACAGAAGGUAUGAACGGUCAGUAAGUUAUUUUUUUGUCCCCUGACAGAAGGUAUGAACGGUCAGUAAGUUAUUUUUUUGUCCCCUGACAGAAGGUAUGAACGGUCAGUAAGUUAUUUUUUUGUCCCCUGACAGAAGGUAUGAACGGUCAGUAAGUUAUUUUUUUGUCCCCUGACAGAAGGUAUGAACGGUCAGUAAGUUAUUUUUUUGUCCCCUGACAGAAGGUAUGAACGGUCAGUAAGUUAUUUUUUUGUCCCCUGACAGAAGGUAUGAACGGUCAGUAAGUUAUUUUUUUGUCCCCUGACAGAAGGUAUG